RNAcentral lists this ribosomal RNA (503 nucleotides) under uncultured bacterium. Its description in RNAcentral is "bacterial SSU rRNA". It matches the Rfam family "Bacterial small subunit ribosomal RNA", at positions 28 to 521 of the family's 1533-position model. The record is from RNAcentral.
GAUGAACGCUAGCUACAGGCUUAACACAUGCAAGUCGAGGGGCAGCAUGAACUUAGCUUGCUAAGUUUGAUGGCGACCGGCGCACGGGUGAGUAACACGUAUCCAACCUGCCGAUGACUCGGGGAUAGCCUUUCGAAAGAAAGAUUAAUACCCGAUGGCAUAGUUCUUCCGCAUGGUGGAACUAUUAAAGAAUUUCGGUCAUCGAUGGGGAUGCGUUCCAUUAGGUUGUUGGCGGGGUAACGGCCCACCAAGCCUUCGAUGGAUAGGGGUUCUGAGAGGAAGGUCCCCCACAUUGGAACUGAGACACGGUCCAAACUCUUACGGGAGGCAGCAGUGAGGAAUAUUGGUCAAUGGACGAGAGUCUGAACCAGCCAAGUAGCGUGAAGGAUGACUGCCCUAUGGGUUGUAAACUUCUUUUAUAAGGGUAAUAAAGUGGAGUCGUGACUCUUUUUGCAUGUACCUUAUGAAUAAGGACCGGCUAAUUCCGUGCCAGCAGCCGCGGU